CCUACGGGAGGCAGCAGUAAGGAAUAUUGGUCAAUGGACGCAAGUCUGAACCAGCCAUGCCGCGUGCAGGAAGACGGCCUAUGGGUUGUAAACUGCUUUUGCAGGGGAAUAUGUACUCUGAGAAUAAGGAUCGGCUAACUCCGUGCCAGCAGCCGCGGUAAUACGGAGGAUCCAAGCGUUAUCCGGAUUUAUUGGGUUUAAAGGGUGCGUAGGUGGCUUUUUAAGUCAGGGGUGAAAGACGGUAGCUUAACUAUCGCAGUGCCCUUGAUACUGAAGAGCUUGAAUGAACUAGAGGUAGGCGGAAUGUGACAAGUAGCGGUGAAAUGCAUAGAUAUGUCACAGAACACCAAUUGCGAAGGCAGCUUACUAUGUUUAUUGACACUGAGGCACGAAAGCGUGGGGAUCAAACAGGAUUAGAUACCCUUGUAGUC
This 431-nucleotide ribosomal RNA is filed under the name uncultured bacterium. RNAcentral describes it as "partial 16S ribosomal RNA". It matches the Rfam family "Bacterial small subunit ribosomal RNA", at positions 338 to 795 of the family's 1533-position model. The record is from RNAcentral.